RNAcentral lists this ribosomal RNA (492 nucleotides) under uncultured bacterium. RNAcentral's name for it is "partial 16S ribosomal RNA". It matches the Rfam family "Bacterial small subunit ribosomal RNA", at positions 29 to 507 of the family's 1533-position model. The record is from RNAcentral.
AGUGAACGCUGGCGGUAGGCCUAACACAUGCAAGUCGAACGGCAGCACAGUAAGAGCUUGCUCUUACGGGUGGCGAGUGGCGGACGGGUGAGGAAUACAUCGGAAUCUACUUUUUCGUGGGGGAUAACGUAGGGAAACUUACGCUAAUACCGCAUACGACCUACGGGUGAAAGCAGGGGAUCUUCGGACCUUGCGCGAUUGAAUGAGCCGAUGUCGGAUUAGCUAGUUGGCGGGGUAAAGGCCCACCAAGGCGACGAUCCGUAGCUGGUCUGAGAGGAUGAUCGGCCACACUGGAACUGAGACACGGUCCAGACUACUACGGGAGGCAGCAGUGGGGAAUAUUAGACAAUGGGCGCAAGCCUGAUCCAGCCAUACCGCGUGGGUGAAGAAGGCCUUCGGGUUGUAAAGCCCUUUUGUUGGGAAAGAAAAGCAGCAGGUUAAUACCCCGCUGUUCUGACGGUACCCAAAGAAUAAGCACCGGCUAACUUCGUG